This 537-nucleotide ribosomal RNA is filed under the name Triticum aestivum (bread wheat). Its description in RNAcentral is "partial small subunit ribosomal RNA". The record is from RNAcentral. Lineage: Eukaryota; Viridiplantae; Streptophyta; Magnoliopsida; Poales; Poaceae.
AUGCUUUCUCGGUCGAUCGGUGUUGAUGUCGAGUAUACGAGAGAAGACGAACCUCCGCAAAAGGCUGCAGUUCUACAGUUAUGCGUGGAGGAUCUCGUCCUGGUAUACCACCUCACCGCGGCAACCAAAUGGCCCAAGGAACUCCGCCCGCUCCUGCAGGAGAAGAAGCUUUACACCUUUGUUGACUUCUCCAUUGGAGGUGACAAGGAGAAGCUGAAAUUGUCUGGUUUGGAGAUCAACCCCGACAAGUACGUCGACAUGCAGCGCAAAUGGAGAGUUCCAAACAAUGGAAAGAAGUGGCAGGCUUUGGCUGAGUUUGCAGCUAGCCUCAUCCACACAUCGUACAAGGAAAUGAAGCAGAAGAUCAACAAGGAAUUGGACCACAAACUAUGGGGGGACAGCCCACUGCCAAACAACCUCAUCGAGUACGCAGCGAAAGAUGCGUACGUCACCUACGAGGCAUGGAAGAAAAUCGAAAUCAUCAAAGAAGGUUUGGAGUACUGGCAAGAGGCAGAGGAUCAUUGGGAUGACCCCUAA